This 494-nucleotide ribosomal RNA is filed under the name uncultured bacterium. RNAcentral's name for it is "partial 16S ribosomal RNA". It matches the Rfam family "Bacterial small subunit ribosomal RNA", at positions 28 to 507 of the family's 1533-position model. The record is from RNAcentral.
GACGAACGCUGGCGGCGUGCUUAACACAUGCAAGUCGAACGGUGAAGCGCCUUCCUUUUUGGUGGGUGUGGAUGAGUGGCGAACGGGUGAGUAACACGUGAGUAACCUGCCCCCUUCUUCUGGAUAACCGCAUGAAAGUGUGGCUAAUACGGGAUAUUCUGGGUCUGUCGCAUGAUGGGUCUGGGAAAGAUAUUGCUUCGGUGGGGGAUGGGCUCGCGGCCUAUCAGCUUGUUGGUGGGGUGAUGGCCUACCAAGGCGGUGACGGGUAGCCGGCCUGAGAGGGUGGACGGUCACACUGGGACUGAGACACGGCCCAGACUCCUACGGGAGGCAGCAGUGGGGAAUAGUGCACAAUGGGCGCAAGCCUGAUGCAGCGACGCCGCGUGAGGGAUGGAGGCCUUCGGGUUGUGAACCUCUUUCGCCAGUGAAGCAGGCCUGCCUCGUUUGUGGGUGGGUUGACGGUAGCUGGAGAAGAAGCGCCGGCUAACUACGUG